AGUCGCGCGAGAAUGUAGCAAUACAGGACAGCGGCGAAAGGGAGAGGACAACACGGGAAUCUGCCUUGGGGACGAGGAUAGCGUCGGGAAACUGACAGUAAUACUCGAUAAUGUUUGCGGACCAAAGGUGUGAUUCCGCCCCAAGAUGAGCCCGUGCCCCAUUAGCUAGUUGGCAGGGUAAUGGCCUACCAAGGCUGUGAUGGGUAGCUGGUGUGAGAGCACGACCAGCCUCACUGGCACUGAGACACUGGCCAGACACCUACGGGUGGCUGCAGUCGAGAAUCUUCGGCAAUGGACGAAAGUCUGACCGAGCGACGCCGCGUGCGGGAUGAAGGCCUUCGGGUUGUAAACCGCUGUCGUAGGGAAUCAAAUGCGUAGGGGUACUCCCCUUUGUUUGAGAGAUCCUAGGAGGAAGGAGAGGCUAAGCUCGUGCCAGCAGCCGCGGUAAGACGAGCUCUCCAAACGUUAUUCGGUAUUACUGGGCUUAAAGAGUUCGUAGGCGGCUCUGUAGGUGAGAUGUGAAAGCCCUCGGCUUAACCGAGGAACUGCGUUUCAAACCACAGGGCUUGAGGGAGAUAGGGGUAAGCGGAACAGAUGGUGGAGCGGUGAAAUGCAUUGAUAUCAUCUGGAACACCGGUGGCGAAGGCGGCUUACUGGGUCUUUUCUGACGCUGAGGAACGAAAGCUAGGGUAGCGAACGGGAUUAGAUACCCCGGUAGUCCUAGCCGUAAACGAUGAGCACUAGUCUGAGGGACUCUCACAGUUUCUCGGACGUAGCGAAAGUGUUAAGUGCUCCGCCUGGGGAGUAUGGUCGCAAGGCUGACACUCCAAGGAAUUGACGGGGGCUCAC
RNAcentral lists this ribosomal RNA (849 nucleotides) under uncultured Planctomycetota bacterium. RNAcentral's name for it is "bacterial SSU rRNA". It matches the Rfam family "Bacterial small subunit ribosomal RNA", at positions 60 to 924 of the family's 1533-position model. The record is from RNAcentral. Lineage: Bacteria; Pseudomonadati; Planctomycetota.